Long non-coding RNA from Peromyscus californicus insignis, 2631 nucleotides. RefSeq lists it as uncharacterized. NCBI's taxonomy places the organism in Eukaryota, Metazoa, Chordata, Mammalia, Rodentia, Cricetidae. The record is from RefSeq and is a predicted model, not a curated record. The transcript has 3 exons.
AGCAUAGCAAUAUUUAAUAAAGGACCUCCAGCUCCAGCCUUUCUUUUCAACCACAAAUACUCUUAGCUCAGAUUGAAAGGCUACAAAUGCCGCUCACCAGCGGUGGAAGGAAAAAGCUCUCUUCUCGAAGGCAUUUGAUGUGGGCAGAGUGGUUCCCAUUAGGAGCCCAUCCUGUGUGCAGAAAGCUGCAGUUCCUUCUUCAUUAAAGAAAGAGGUCUGAAGAGCCCCACAGCCAGGUGCUAAUGGCAUUAUGGCUGAGGGGCCGCCAAGCAUGGAGCUGCUUGGCACUUAACCAAGAGUCUGAAGCAGAGUCAGUGGAUAUAACUCCAUCCACCAAAUAAAGAAGGCAGCAAAAAGCUGCCCUGGAAUGGAGCCCUGUGAGGGAGGAGGGUAGAGGCCCUGGCCUAAGUGCAUGUUCCAGGAAAGACAGAGUGGGCCUUCAUCACGGGCUAAGUUACUCAUGGCCCCGACUGGGAGCCCCAUCCACACGCCACGCCCUUCCAAUGGCUUCCAUCCUCAAGCCCAUAGGAUCUCUGUGAUGCUACUGCAUGGGGUACAGGGGUUCAGGUCCCCUCACAAAUGCAUUUCCAGAUCUCCUGAAGAUGUCUCUGGGCCCAGACAGCAGGAACUGAUUUUAAGAACAUGAUGUCCACAUUCUCAAGAGGUGGGGCGGGUUGUUUUUGGUCUUUCAAUGGGUUAUGGAUAAUUGUCAUUGUUUAGUCAUGGUUGAUUACAAGUUGUUAAUUGAUAAUGGUCAGGAAAAAAGCUAAAUAUAGGAGAUUAGAUUCUGGGAUCUUGUUUAAAAAAAAAGAAAAAGAAGAAAGAGGAUAUAGAUAUGAUAAGGUAAAAGGUAGAUUAUUGAAUCUAUUGUGAAAAAAAAGAUACAGAAAUGAUGGAUAAAGGGUAGAUUAUUGAAUCUACUCUGAAAAAAACAAGAACAUGGAUAUGAUAAGAUAAAAGGUAGAUUAUUGAAUCUACUUUUAAAAAGCAGCUACUAGUUUAAAAUAUUUUAUAUUGGAUUGGAUUUUGUAUACUGUAUACAAAUUAUAUAUAUUGAUACAAAUUUGAGAUUGAUUUUGUUAGAAAUUACUGUACAUAUAUUUCUAAUUUUCAAGGUAUUGUACCUAUAUAGUUCAUUUAACAAUGUAAUGCAAUUUUCUAGUCCUUGAAAGUUAUUACCAACUAUUUAGGAUAAUAAAGAAAUGCAGGUUAGUAGUUAGUCAUUACAAUCAAACUUGUAGUCAUGUUAGGUAUGUUUUCAAGGUCACACAGAUAUAUUUUAGAUAUACAAGUCAUCUUCAAACACUUCAGAGAUCUACAGAAUAUGGCAUUUAAGAUGUUUUAAUAACAUAGUUUUUUUUUCUGUUUUUAAUGACAAUGAGACUUGUCUGCUCCUGGCAGCAUCAAUCUACUUCAGAGAAACUCAAUAUGAAAUUUACUUUCUUUGUGGCAAAAGUUAGCCAUUGGGCAAGAAAGUGCCCUUGCCUCGACUGCUGACAGUAUGCUGUCCAAAUGGACAAGCAGGACACAAAAGAAAGGACUGCUGAUCCUUGCUAAGACAAAGUAGGAAGGCCCUUCAGAAAAUCCUACUUCACAGAAAAGUCUGUCAGGUAUGCUAGGCCUGUAGGCUGAAGAUGGAUGCCCCAAUGUUGCAGAGAAACCUUGGGUGACUGUCCAGGCAGCCAGCUGUUUCUGUCAUUCCUCACAUUUUUUGGAAGUCACUUGUUUGCACUUCCUGUUUUACUAGGUAAUAUUAUUUCCUUCUAGGGUCUCUGAGGGAGUUGAAGAUUAGAUAGUUAUAGUUUUCCUUGUUAACAAAUUCAGAAAAGAAAUGCACUAAACAGGUGUAAAGUGUUAAGUUUUAAAGACAUCAAAAGAUAGUUUUUAGUUGGCAAUACAAGUUAAGAUAAAAAGUGAAUUAGGUACAUUUUAGACUCACCAAGAUCAAGUUAGGAUAAAAAGUGAAUUAGGUACAUUUUAGACUUACCAAAAUAGGCUAAAUAAUGGACUUUUUGUCUGAAUCUGUCAAAUGUUAAUGGUCUAGACAUUGUUAAUGAAUAUAAUUCUUGACUAUAUAUAUUUAUCUUUAUUGUACUUAUUGUAUGUAGUUUUUCUUAUAUUAGUUAUAACUUUCUUUUAUUAUUUUAAACAAAAAAGGGGAAAUUUGGUGUUAUAUUGUAUACCCCAAUAUAUUGUGUACCCUAAUAAACUUAUCUGGGGAUCAGAAGACAGAGCCAGCCACUAGAUUAGACAGAGGCCAGACAGUGGUGGCAUACACCUUUAAUCCCAGCACUUGGGAGGCAGAGAUCCCUCUGGAUCUCUGUGAGUUCAAGGCCACCCUGGGAACAGAGUCAGGUAGUGGUGACACACACCUUUAAUCCCAGCACUUGAGAUCUCAUGUCUUUGCUUGGAAAGCACACGUGCCUUUAAUCCCAGGAAGUGACAUGGUUGGGUGGAGAACAGUAUAUAAAUCGUGAGGAGACAGAAACUAAGCAGCAGUUCAACUGAGACCCUCAGGGGUGAGGACUCAGAGGCUUUCAGUCUGAGGAUUCGUGGAAACAGAAUAGGCUGAGGAGCUGGCGAGCUAAGUUGGCGGUGGCUUGUUCUAUUUCUCUGAUCUUUCAGCUUUCA